RNAcentral lists this ribosomal RNA (490 nucleotides) under uncultured bacterium. RNAcentral's name for it is "partial 16S ribosomal RNA". It matches the Rfam family "Bacterial small subunit ribosomal RNA", at positions 30 to 507 of the family's 1533-position model. The record is from RNAcentral.
AUUGAACGCUGGCGGCAGGCCUAACACAUGCAAGUCGAACGGUAACAGGAAGACGCUUGCUUCUUUGCUGACGAGUGGCGGACGGGCGAGUAAUGUCUGGGAAACUGCCUGAUGGAGGGGGAUAACUACUGGAAACGGUAGCUAAUACCGCAUAACGUCGCAAGACCAAAGAGGGGGACCUUCGGGCCUCUUGCCAUCGGAUGUGCCCAGAUGGGAUUAGCUAGUAGGUGGGGUAACGGCUCACCUAGGCGACGAUCCCUAGCUGGUCUGAGAGGAUGACCAGCCACACUGGAACUGAGACACGGUCCAGACUCCUACGGGAGGCAGCAGUGGGGAAUAUUGCACAAUGGGCGCAAGCCUGAUGCAGCCAUGCCGCGUGUAUGAAGAAGGCCUUCGGGUUGUAAAGUACUUUCAGCGGGGAGGAAGGGAGUAAAGUUAAUACCUUUGCUCAUUGACGUUACCCGCAGAAGAAGCACCGGCUAACUCCGUG